This 253-nucleotide ribosomal RNA is filed under the name uncultured bacterium. Its description in RNAcentral is "partial 16S ribosomal RNA". It matches the Rfam family "Bacterial small subunit ribosomal RNA", at positions 524 to 776 of the family's 1533-position model. The record is from RNAcentral.
UACGUAGGGGGCUAGCGUUGCUCGGAAUGACUGGGCGUAAAGGGCGCGUAGGCGGUUUGUACAGUCAGGUGUGAAAUUCCCGGGCUCAACCUGGGGGCUGCACUUGAUACGUAUGGACUGGAGUGGGGAAGAGGGUCGUGGAAUUCCCAGUGUAGAGGUGAAAUUCGUAGAUAUUGGGAAGAACACCGGUGGCGAAGGCGGCGACCUGGUCCUUGACUGACGCUGAGGCGCGAAAGCCAGGGGAGCGAACGGG